Molecule: long non-coding RNA, 236 nt
Organism: Trematomus bernacchii (emerald rockcod)
Lineage: Eukaryota; Metazoa; Chordata; Actinopteri; Perciformes; Nototheniidae
Exons: 2
Source: RefSeq, a predicted model, not a curated record
CUCGCGUAGUUAGGAGCAGCACCGCCGUCAACAUGCCCGUGCGAGGAAGAAAUAAGUCCAGCUGCUCGCUUCGGAACUCGCUUGGAAAAGCGCCUACAACUGGCAGGACCUCCGAGUAUCAAGCUGUCUGCCCUUAUGCCUGUAAACAAUGUCUGUAAUAUUAAUGUGUAACAUUUAAAAAAUGUAUGUUUUUAUUUUAUUUUUCAAACAUUUAAAAUAAAUACAGUAUAUCAGUC